RNAcentral lists this ribosomal RNA (515 nucleotides) under Penicillium sp. Hy8A. RNAcentral's name for it is "SSU rRNA". It matches the Rfam family "Eukaryotic small subunit ribosomal RNA", at positions 221 to 734 of the family's 1831-position model. The record is from RNAcentral. Lineage: Eukaryota; Fungi; Ascomycota; Eurotiomycetes; Eurotiales; Aspergillaceae.
AAAAACAUGCCUUCGGGGCUCCUUGGUGAUUUCAUAAUAACUUCACGAAUCGCAUGGCCUUGCGCCGGCGAUGGUUCAUUCAAAUUUCUGCCCUAUCAACUUUCGAUGGUAGGAUAGUGGCCUACCAUGGUGGCAACGGGUAACGGGGAAUUAGGUUCGAUUCCGGAGAGGGAGCCUGAGAAACGGCUACCACAUCCAAGGAAGGCAGCAGGCGCGCAAAUUACCCAAUCCCGAUACGGGGAGGUAGUGACAAUAAAUACUGAUACAGGGGCUCUUUUGGGUCUUGUAAUUGGAAUGAGAACAAUCUAAAUCCCUUAACGAGGAACAAUUGGAGGGCAAGUCUGGUGCCAGCAGCCGCGGUAAUUCCAGCUCCAAUAGCGUAUAUUAAAGUUGUUGCAGUUAAAAAGCUCGUAGUUGAACCUUGGGCCCGUCCUGCCGGUCCGCCUCACCGCGAGUACUGGUCCGGAUGGGCCUUUCUUUCUGGGGAAUCCCAUGGCCUUCACUGGCUGUGGCGG